CCCUUAGAUGUUCUGGGCCGCACACGCGCUACACUGAUGGCUUCAACGAGUUUUCUACCUUGGCCUAGCGGUCUAGGUAAUCUUUGAAAGGCUAUCGUGCUGGGGAUUGAGCAUUGGAAUUUUUGCUCAUGAACGAGGAAUUCCUAGUAAACGCGAGUCAUCAGCUCGCAUUGAUUACGUCCCUGCCCUUUGUACACACCGCCCGUCGCUCCUACCGAUGAAUGGUCCGGUGAGGCUUACGGAUUGGCCUUGGGUUUCUGGCGACAGUUCCCUUGGCCGAGAAGUGAUCCUAACCUUAUCAUUUAGAGGAAGGAGAAGUCGUAACA
This 326-nucleotide ribosomal RNA is filed under the name uncultured eukaryote. Its description in RNAcentral is "partial 18S ribosomal RNA". It matches the Rfam family "Eukaryotic small subunit ribosomal RNA", at positions 1470 to 1796 of the family's 1831-position model. The record is from RNAcentral.